Molecule: unclassified non-coding RNA, 240 nt
Filed under: soil metagenome
Description: partial contains 5.8S ribosomal RNA, internal transcribed spacer 2, and large subunit ribosomal RNA
Source: RNAcentral
AACAAGGCGUACCUGCGGACCUGCGGAGGGAUCAUUACCGAGUGCGGGUCCGCGUGGCCCAACCUCCCACCCGUGCCUAUUGUACCCUGUUGCUUCGGCGGGCCCGCCAGCCUUCGGGCUGGCCGCCGGGGGGCGUCUCGCCCCCGGGCCCGUGCCCGCCGGAGACCCCAACAUGAACCCUGUUCUGAAAGCUUGGUGUCUGAGUGUGAUUGUUUGCAAUCAGUUAAAACUUUUAGCAAC